GAUGAACGCUGGCGGCGUGCUUAACACAUGCAAGUCGAACGAGAACGGAUUAUAGCUUGCUAUAAUUGUCAGCUAAGUGGCGCACGGGUGAGUAAUGUAUAGGUAAUAUGCCUCUUACUAAGGGAUAACAAAUGGAAACGUUUGCUAAUACCUUAUACUCCUUAUUAACAUAAGUCAAUUAGGGAAAGAUUUAUUGGUUAGUGAUUAGCCUGUAUUGUAUCAGUUAGUUGGUGGGGUCAUGGCUUACCAAGACUAUGACACAUAACUGGUUUGAGAGGAUGCGCGGUCGCACCGGAACUGAGACACGAGCCGGACUCCUACGGGAGGCAGCAGGGGGGAAUAUAGCACAAUGGGCGGAAGUCUGGUGCCGCAACGCCGCGGGGACGAUGAGACAUUUCGGUGCGUAAACUCCUAUUAGAUGAGAAGAUAAUGACGGUAUUAUAUAAAUAAGCACCGGCUAACUCCGUGUCAGCCGCCGCCGUAA
RNAcentral lists this ribosomal RNA (484 nucleotides) under uncultured bacterium. RNAcentral describes it as "partial 16S ribosomal RNA". It matches the Rfam family "Bacterial small subunit ribosomal RNA", at positions 28 to 523 of the family's 1533-position model. The record is from RNAcentral.